UUACUUAUGUACAACUAAGGCUUAAUGAAUUAAGCUAUUUUGUUUAUCAAAUAAUAUAGUGAUUAAUAAGGACUAAACUAUCGUUCAUACAUAUAACAAUGCAUUAUUUCUGUCAGCCGAGCACCUAACAAGGACUAAUCAAUUAAGCUCUUACCUCUUACCAAACGGGUGUUUGUGGAAAGUUUAAGCUUGUGAAUCGCGAGUUCAUGACCCUUUAUUAGCGUUGACACGAGGCACUAUCCCUGUGUUUAUAAUAAAAAAAUGUAGGAAAGGACCUGCCGGCCCACUCCUCCAUUCCACAGCUAGCAACGUGCUACCCUCCCUCUCCUCGUGGCUGAUGUCUUUUUACUUUGAAACUAAUAAUAGCAUAUUUUAUAAUAAAACGAGUUCUACGAUGCUGUCCUAAUAAGAAAACAAAUUUAAAUCAGUCAUUUUUUAUAAAAUAAAGCUAACUUCUAUUUUUGUGCCUCGUAAAUUCACUUUUUCAUUUAAAUUUUUUUUAUAGUCAAAUACAUAGAAAUGCAUAAAGUAUAAUUGUUGACUAAAAUUUGAUAAUUUUACUCAGUCUACUCCUUUUGUCUCAAAGACUAAAAUUCGAUAACUUCAUGCAUAAAGUAUAAUUUCUUUGGAACCAUGUGAACAAUUUUAGGGCAAACUUCAGAAAGUUGUAAUAUUAUGGGAGUACAUAUUAGUUUGAGUACAGGCACUUACCUUUGUCUCCCUUGCUAGCGUGUCUCUUUAAUUUAGUUAUGUGAUUGUGAUGAACUGAUGAUAGAGUAAGAUCAAAAGUUUACUACUCACCGUAAUUACUGAAUGAAGAAUGAGUAAUAUUAUUGUUGGACACUACACUGUUGCAUGUCACCAGAAAUUGACACUUAAACAAGAAGUUGAAGGUUUUUGCUCAAAGUGAAGAAUCUUCUUCGGUGUAUAUGACGAAAUUAUGUGUCUAAUAGAUUUAGACUUUGAGACAAAAGAGUAGAAUCUGCUUCCGUGAUCUAGGAGAGGAUGGAAAGCUACACCUUUAAUUUAACCAGAGUCUUUCUUAUUGAUAGAGCAACGUACAUCGAUCCUUUUGUAAUGAUGUAAAUUUAUUACUUUCUCAAGGAUUUGGAUUUUCUUAUUUACAACUCGAGCAUAGUACUAUAGUGAUAGAGUCACAACAUUCAAACAUGUGAUAUAACAUCAUUGAACAACCAUGCAAUAUUGGUCGCGAUCCCAAAACAUUUAUCUUGUCAUGCUGCUGCUGUCUGCUCCUAGGGACAAGUGGACUUCAAAUAUAAAGCUUGUUAGCCGUAGUGCAAUAUUGAUGCUUCUUUCACCUUGAGGCAAAAUCAUGUUGGCAUUGAAGUGUGUGUCUGCAUGGGGAUGAAGGGUGUUCUGUUCUUGCCAAAAUGGAAGGGUGGAAGCCUCUAACUUUGGCGGUUGAAAGAAAAGUGCCUUGUCUUUGAUUUGUUGAAUAAUGUUGACUUUGAGCUUGAUUGCAAAAUAUUGGUGGAUGCUUUUCACAACCCAAAGAUGAUGUCUCAGAGUUUUGUUUCAUAAAUGUGGAUUGUUUUGUUGGCAGAUUUUAUUCUGUAUUGAAAAUUUCUAAAGUUGUUUUUAUUAGAGACAAAUCUACUAUUUGGUCGUCUGUCUUAACUCAAACAACCACAUUCUUAUAGUUGGUUUCCAUUUUAUAUUCUCA
This 1684-nucleotide long non-coding RNA is filed under the name Medicago truncatula (barrel medic). Its description in RNAcentral is "long non-coding RNA (MTRU_LNC002566)". The record is from RNAcentral. Lineage: Eukaryota; Viridiplantae; Streptophyta; Magnoliopsida; Fabales; Fabaceae.